Long non-coding RNA from Wyeomyia smithii (pitcher-plant mosquito), 621 nucleotides. RefSeq lists it as uncharacterized. The transcript has 3 exons. NCBI's taxonomy places the organism in Eukaryota, Metazoa, Arthropoda, Insecta, Diptera, Culicidae. The record is from RefSeq and is a predicted model, not a curated record.
CCGAGCAUUAUUGCAUUCAUAAACGUUGGCUGCAUCGGACGUUAAUGUCGGGUGCACUAUUCGUCUUAAGUCAGUAUUUCUCAGACAAAAAACCAAGAAAAAUACAACGUCACUGUUUGAGUGUGUAUCAUUUUAAAAAUAAAAAGUUCUUAAAUUUAUGAAAAAAGAAUACAUAUCAUUAUGUGUUAUUCCACACCGAAAAUUUCAACAACAUUCGAAGAAAUUUAGAAACAUUAACAGACAUUGAGCAACAUGGCUAGUGCUUCGGCUCCCUUCAUCGCAUCCCAAUUCUCUCUGAAUACCACUCGUGAUCUAUGUUCACUCAAAUACGAAAAAUUUGUCAAACCAAACACAGAGCCUUCACGAUUAUUUGUGUUGCCAACGACUUGUGUUUCUUCAAUUGGUACGGCGGGGCGACCAACUGGAUGAAAGCCCACGUAAUGAUGGGAAGGCUACUCGCUGCCUGCCUAAAGCGAACCACCCCCUCUGGCGCAGUUUGCAGUUUUGCGGUUCUGCGGCUGCUUGUUUUUUUAAAGGGGGGGGAAUGUUUGUAAUGAUUUAUUUAUGUACUAAUAUCUAUUCAGAAUUAAUAUUUUGUGUUCUGCCACAAAUGGUGAAAUU